GGCAGAGUCCUCCUCUCUCUCAGGCUGUGGGAGCUGGCAGCCCCGGAAGCUGCCAGUCUUCAAGUCCCUCCGGCACAUGAGGCAGGUCCUGGGUGCCCCUUCUUUCCGCAUGCUGGCCUGGCACGUUCUCAUGGGGAACCAGGUGAUCUGGAAAAGCAGAGACGUGGACCUCGUCCAGUCAGCUUUUGAAGUACUUCGGGUGAGAACAUCUUUUCCUUAGGUGUGCGGCGCAGGGCAGUAUUGGCCUGGUGCCUGGCGUCAGGUGGGGAUGCCAAGGUGCACCGACUGCCCAGCAC
Molecule: long non-coding RNA, 296 nt
Filed under: Homo sapiens (human)
Lineage: Eukaryota; Metazoa; Chordata; Mammalia; Primates; Hominidae
Description: non-protein coding lnc-PLD6-2:1
Source: RNAcentral